CGGGAAAAGCUCAAAUUUAAAAUCUGGCGGUCUCUGGCCGUCCGAGUUGUAAGUUAGAGAAGUGUUACCCGCGCUGGACCGUGUACAAGUCUCCUGGAACGGAGCGUCAUAGAGGGUGAGAAUCCCGUCU
Molecule: ribosomal RNA, 130 nt
Filed under: Xeromphalina sp.
Lineage: Eukaryota; Fungi; Basidiomycota; Agaricomycetes; Agaricales; Mycenaceae
Description: partial large subunit ribosomal RNA
Rfam family: Eukaryotic large subunit ribosomal RNA
Source: RNAcentral